RNAcentral lists this unclassified non-coding RNA (290 nucleotides) under fungal sp. RNAcentral describes it as "partial internal transcribed spacer region". The stretch from base 1 to 46 matches the Rfam family "Eukaryotic small subunit ribosomal RNA", at positions 1786 to 1831 of the family's 1831-position model. The record is from RNAcentral. Lineage: Eukaryota; Fungi.
AAGUCGUAACAAGGUAACCGUAGGUGAACCUGCGGUUGGAUCAUUACCAAUUUUUUUCUUCUUCUCUCUUGCUUUCUUUUGUGGAGCGGGAGAGGAAAAGGAAGGAACAAAAUGUGCACCUGUAAUUGUACGUUGGCGGCUGUCCAAGUGCUUUGUGCUGGACGUGCAUUCAGUUGCAAAGGCCGUCAAUUGUUUUUUCAAUAAACAAAUUGAACCACUUUUUAUUAAUUCUAUUUUUUUUAUGAAGAAGAAACCAAGAACAACUAUUAACAAUGGAUCUCUUGGCUCUC